UACAUAGGGUGCAAGCGUUGUCCGGAAUUAUUGGGCGUAAAGAGCUCGUCGGUGGUUCGUUACGUCGGAUGUGAAAAUCUGGGGCUCACCCCCAGACCUGCAUUCGAUACGGGCGAACUAGAGUGUGGUGGGGGAGACUGGAAUUCCUGGUGUAGCGGUGGAAUGCGCAGAUAUGAGGAGGAACACCAAUGGCGAAGGCAGGGCUCUGGGCCAUUACUGACACUGAGGAGCGAAAGCGUGGGGAGCGAACAGG
This 253-nucleotide ribosomal RNA is filed under the name uncultured bacterium. RNAcentral describes it as "partial 16S ribosomal RNA". It matches the Rfam family "Bacterial small subunit ribosomal RNA", at positions 524 to 776 of the family's 1533-position model. The record is from RNAcentral.